UUCUUUAGAAUUUUCUGCUUCAUAUUCUUAGUUGACUUUUCUCAAUAAUUAAGAUGUUAACCAAUUUGUCCUUGUAGAGUUUAUAAACCUCAUUUUGUCAGAAUCAAUUCUGCAACAGAGAGCAUAUAUUGAAGGCUCCACAGGUGGUUUCUGUUGUUUUCAGUCCUUCUUCUCUUGCUCUCACCCUGGAUGGUCUGACCUUGUUGUGAACUUACCAAUUGUUCUGAUCUAAGAGCACUUCACUUGGUACUUUCAUCAAGUGAAUCAUCAAAUUCUAUAAUCAAAUUCUAUAAGCUGUGACAGUGUUCCCUUCAAGUGAGG
Vigna unguiculata (cowpea) is the source of this 321-nucleotide long non-coding RNA. The record is from RefSeq and is a predicted model, not a curated record. Lineage: Eukaryota; Viridiplantae; Streptophyta; Magnoliopsida; Fabales; Fabaceae.